RNAcentral lists this ribosomal RNA (468 nucleotides) under uncultured bacterium. Its description in RNAcentral is "partial 16S ribosomal RNA". It matches the Rfam family "Bacterial small subunit ribosomal RNA", at positions 28 to 507 of the family's 1533-position model. The record is from RNAcentral.
GAUGAACGCUGGCGGCGUGCUUAACACAUGCAAGUCGAACGGAAAGGCCAGUGCUUGCACUGGUACUCGAGUGGCGAACGGGUGAGUAACACGUGGGUGAUCUGCCCUGCACUUCGGGAUAAGCCUGGGAAACUGGGGCUAAUACCGGAUAGGACAAUGGUUUGGAUGCCGUUGUGGAAAGUUUUUUCGGUGUGGGAUGAGCUCGCGGCCUAUCAGCUUGUUGGUGGGGUAAUGGCCUACCAAGGCGUCGACGGGUAGCCGGCCUGAGAGGGUGUACGGCGACAUUGGGACUGAGAGACGGCCCAGAGUCCUACGGGAGGCAGCAGUGGGGAAUAUUGCACAAUGGGCGCAAGCCUGAUGCAGCGCCGCCGCGUGGGGGAUGACGGCCUUCGGGUUGUAAACUCCUUUCGCUAGGGACGAAGCGUAUUUGUGACGGUACCUGGAGAAGAAGCACCGGCUAACUACGUG